CAUUGCAGGCUGAACAGACCACCGAGCAAACUGGUACAUGCAGCUGACAAGCUGUUAGUCUUCAGAUAUCCUCUCAUCAAAAGCCAGAGCACGCAGGCUGACUCUGCUGCACUUUUUUUUGGUUGGGGGCGCGUUCACAGAAGCAGGGACUCUGGUGGUCCUCUGAUGGGCGUUCCUACUGCUGGAUCCUGUUGGAUCUCCGGUGGACAUACCUUAAUCAUCUGCACUAUAUAAGGCCCGGCUCACCCACUAACUUUCUUGCUUGUCUCAAACUCAGAUUAGAAGAAACACCUUAGCUUGUUAUGGAAAUGAAUAAAAAUCCUGAAACAA
Haplochromis burtoni (Burton's mouthbrooder) is the source of this 330-nucleotide long non-coding RNA. RefSeq lists it as uncharacterized. NCBI's taxonomy places the organism in Eukaryota, Metazoa, Chordata, Actinopteri, Cichliformes, Cichlidae. The record is from RefSeq and is a predicted model, not a curated record. The transcript has 2 exons.